GCCUGGCUGGCUCAGUCGGUAGAGCGUGCGGGUCUUGAUCUCAGGGUCGUGAGUUCAAACCCCGCACUGGGCG
RNAcentral lists this transfer RNA (73 nucleotides) under Felis catus (domestic cat). It matches the Rfam family "tRNA". Rfam says of the family: Transfer RNA (tRNA) molecules are approximately 80 nucleotides in length. Lineage: Eukaryota; Metazoa; Chordata; Mammalia; Carnivora; Felidae. The record is from Rfam by way of RNAcentral. RNAcentral also lists the same sequence under 2 other names.